UUAUGCUGAUAAGAGCGUAUGGUGGAUGCCUUGGCACUAAGAGCCGAUGAAAGACGUGAUAAGCUGCGAAAAGCUUCGGGGAGGAGCAAAUAUCCUUUGAUCCGGAGAUUUCUGAAUGGGGAAACCUACUUGAGCAAACCUCAAGUAUCCUUAAGCCAAUACAUAACUUAAGGAAGGGAACCCGGUGAACUGAAACAUCUAAGUAGCCGGAGGAAGAGAAAACAACAUGUGAUUCUGUGAGUAGCGGCGAGCGAAAACGGAAGAGCCCAAACCAGCGUGCGUGCAUGCUGGGGUUCGGACCGCGGAAUUGAUUCAACAAGUUUAGCAGAACGGUUUUGGGAAAGCCGGCCAGAGAGGGUGAAAGCCCCGUAAGCGAAAGACGAGUUGACAUGGCGGGAUCCAGAGUACCACGAGACACGUGGAACCUUGUGGGAAGAUGCGGGGACCACCCCGUAAGGCUAAAUACUACUUAGUGACCGAUAGCGCAUAGUACUGUGAAGGAAAGGUGAAAAGGACCCCGGGAGGGGAGUGAAAAAGAACCUGAAACCAUAUGUUUACAAGCUGUGGAAGAGCUUUAUAUGCUCAACCGCGUACUUUUUGUAGAACGGUCCGGCGAGUUACGCUGGCUGGCGAGGUUAAGGACUAAAGGUCCGGAGCCGAAGGGAAACCAAGUCUGAACAGGGCGCAUAGUCAGUCGGAGUAGACCCGAAACCGGGUGAUCUAUCCAUGUCCAGGUUGAAGUUGCCGUAAAAGGCAAUGGAGGACCGAACCCACAUCCGUUGAAAAGGGUGGGGAUGAGGUGUGGAUAGGGGAGAAAUUCCAAUCGAACCCGGAGAUAGCUGGUUCUCCUCGAAAUAGCUUUAGGGCUAGCCUCAUACGAGUCUUGCGGAGGUAGAGCACUGAAUUCCUAAGGGGGCGUCAAAGCUUACUAAGGGAUAUCAAACUCCGAAUGCCGUGUAGAUGAUGUAUGGGAGUCAGACGAUCCGAGAUAAGUUGGGUGGUCAAAAGGGAAAGAGCCCAGACCAACAGCUAAGGCCCCAAAAUGUGUGUUAAGUGGAAAAGGAUGUGGGAUUUCGAAGACAACUAGGAUGUUGGCUCAGAAGCAGCCAUUCAUUCAAAGAGUGCGUAAUAGCUCACUAGUCGAGAGGUCCUGCGCCGAAAAUGUCCGGGGCUAAAACACACUGCCGAAGCUUUGGAAUUGAGAAUUCAAUUGGUAGAGGAGCAUUCUUAAAGGGACGAAGCAGUACCGGAAGGAGCUGUGGACUUUUAAGAAGAGAGAAUGCCGGAAUGAGUAGCGAGAGGAAGGUGGGAAUCCUUCCGGCCGAAUAUCUAAGGUUUCCAGAGUAAAGCUGAUCUGCUCUGGGUAAGUCGGGGCCUAAGGCGAGGUCGAAAGACGUAGUCGAUGGAUAACAGGUUGAAAUUCCUGUACUAUCCUGUAACAGAACUGUGGGGACACAGGCAGAGAGCGUGAGCCGGGAAUGGAAAGACCGGUACAAGCGAGGUAGGAGAAGAGUUGGCAAAUCCGCUCUUUAAUCUGAAGACGUGAUGUGGACUGAAAAUAAGUAGGGAAGCACGUGAGCUGACUGUCAAGAAAAGCCGCUAUUGUUUGCAGGAUACCCGUACCGUAAACCGACACAGGUGGAUGAGGAGAGAAUCCUAAGGCCGACGGGAGAAGCAUUGUUAAGGAACUCGGCAAAAUGACUCCGUAACUUCGGGAGAAGGAGUGCCAGUAAGAUGGCCGCAGAGAAUUGGCCCAAGCAACUGUUUAGCAAAAACACAGGUCUAUGCAAAACCGAAAGGUGAGGUAUAUGGGCUGACGCCUGCCCGGUGCUGGAAGGUUAAGGGGAGAGGUUAGCGCAAGCGAAGCUUUGAACUUAAGCCCCAGUAAACGGCGGCCGUAACUAUAACGGUCCUAAGGUAGCGAAAUUCCUUGUCGGGUAAGUUCCGACCCGCACGAAAGGCGUAAUGAUUUGGGCACUGUCUCAACAAUGCACCCGGUGAAAUUGAAAUACCAGUGAAGAUGC
This 2024-nucleotide ribosomal RNA is filed under the name human gut metagenome. RNAcentral's name for it is "bacterial LSU rRNA". It matches the Rfam family "Bacterial large subunit ribosomal RNA", at positions 1 to 2062 of the family's 2925-position model. The record is from RNAcentral.